AAAGACUUAGUCCUAACCUUGCUGUUAACUCUUGCUAAACAUAUACAUGCAAGUAUCCGCGCCCCAGUGUAAAUGCCCUUAAUUUCUUACUAAGAUAAUAGGAGCUGGUAUCAGGCACACCCACCUAGCUGUAGCCCAAGACACCUUGCUCUGCCACACCCCCACGGGCACUCAGCAGUAAUUAACAUUAAGCAAUAAGUGUAAACUUGACUUAGUUAUAGCAUACCUCAGGGUUGGUAAAUCUUGUGCCAGCCGCCGCGGUCAUACAAGAGACCCAAGCUAACAGCAUCCGGCGUAAAGAGCGGGUACGUACUAUCUAAGCAACUAGGAUUAAAUCGCAACUGNGCUGUCAUAAGCCCAAGAUACGCCUAAAGCCAUCCCCAAGACGACCCUAGCGCCCACGAUUGACUAACCCCCGCGAAAGCCAGGGCUC
RNAcentral lists this ribosomal RNA (433 nucleotides) under Buteo rufinus rufinus (long-legged buzzard). RNAcentral describes it as "partial 12S ribosomal RNA". Lineage: Eukaryota; Metazoa; Chordata; Aves; Accipitriformes; Accipitridae. The record is from RNAcentral.